RNAcentral lists this ribosomal RNA (1088 nucleotides) under Streptomyces sp. LK1132.4. RNAcentral's name for it is "partial 16S ribosomal RNA". The stretch from base 1 to 830 matches the Rfam family "Bacterial small subunit ribosomal RNA", at positions 26 to 873 of the family's 1533-position model. The record is from RNAcentral. Lineage: Bacteria; Bacillati; Actinomycetota; Actinomycetes; Kitasatosporales; Streptomycetaceae.
GGACCAACGCUGGNGGUCGUGCUUAACACAUGCAAGUCGAACGAUGAACCUCCUUCGGGAGGGGAUUAGUGGCGAACGGGUGAGUAACACGUGGGCAAUCUGCCCUUCACUCUGGGACAAGCCCUGGAAACGGGGUCUAAUACCGGAUACGACACGGGGUCGCAUGACCUCCGUGUGGAAAGCUCCGGCGGUGAAGGAUGAGCCCGCGGCCUAUCAGCUUGUUGGUGGGGUGAUGGCCUACCAAGGCGACGACGGGUAGCCGGCCUGAGAGGGCGACCGGCCACACUGGGACUGAGACACGGCCCAGACUCCUACGGGAGGCAGCAGUGGGGAAUAUUGCACAAUGGGCGAAAGCCUGAUGCAGCGACGCCGCGUGAGGGAUGACGGCCUUCGGGUUGUAAACCUCUUUCAGCAGGGAAGAAGCGAAAGUGACGGUACCUGCAGAAGAAGCGCCGGCUAACUACGUGCCAGCAGCCGCGGUAAUACGUAGGGCGCAAGCGUUGUCCGGAAUUAUUGGGCGUAAAGAGCUCGUAGGCGGCUUGUCACGUCGGAUGUGAAAGCCCGGGGCUUAACCCCGGGUCUGCAUUCGAUACGGGCAGGCUAGAGUUCGGUAGGGGAGAUCGGAAUUCCUGGUGUAGCGGUGAAAUGCGCAGAUAUCAGGAGGAACACCGGUGGCGAAGGCGGAUCUCUGGGCCCGAUACUGACGCUGAGGAGCGAAAGCGUGGGGAGCGAACAGGAUUAGAUACCCUGGUAGUCCACGCCGUAAACGUUGGGAACUAGGUGUGGGCGACAUUCACGUCGUCGUGCNCANNUACGCAUAANUNCCCCCUGGGAAUCCGGCNCAGGCUAAACNAAAGAAUGACGGGGNCCNCCAACNCCGACUNUGNUUNUUUACCACCGAAACUACAGGUNNNUACCGAANCUGAAAGGCCCUNGGCGGNNGGGGCUGGNNNACUUGCGGANUGGUAUCCAAACCACUNUUUUCNUCUNGGAGGNNANAUNGNNUGGAGGGANAAUCCUUUGUCCNAGCCANUNCGGGANANCUUNNGNCCCAGUNAANUGACCCCCCCANCNCCGGGGGGGNANNG